GCGCGAAAACUUUGCAAUGCGGGAAACCGUGACAAGGGAACUCUGAGUGCCCGUAAAAUCGGGCUGUCCAUCGGUUUAAAUAACCGGUGAAGAAAGGGCCGGGCAAGACCGGUGCCAGCCGCCGCGGUAAUACCGGCGGCUCGAGUGGUGGCCACUAUUACUGGGCUUAAAGCGUUCGUAGCUGGUUUGUUAAGUCUCUGGGGAAAUCUUCCGGCUUAACCGGAAGGCGUCUCAGGGAUACUGGCAGACUAGGGACCGGGAGAGGUGAGAGGUACUCCAGGGGUAGGAGUGAAAUCCUGUAAUCCUUGGGGGACCACCUGUGGCGAAGGCGUCUCACCAGAACGGCUCCGACAGUGAGGGACGAAAGCUGGGGGAGCAAACCGGAUUAGAUACCCGGGUAGUCCCAGCCGUAAACGAUGUGCGUUAGGUGUAUCGGUGACCACGAGUCACCGAGGUGCCGAAGAGAAAUCGUGAAACGUACCGCCUGGGAAGUACGGUCGCAAGGCUGAAACUUAAAGGAAUUGGCGGGGGA
RNAcentral lists this ribosomal RNA (532 nucleotides) under uncultured Methanomicrobiales archaeon. Its description in RNAcentral is "bacterial SSU rRNA". It matches the Rfam family "Archaeal small subunit ribosomal RNA", at positions 339 to 875 of the family's 1478-position model. The record is from RNAcentral. Lineage: Archaea; Methanobacteriati; Methanobacteriota; Methanomicrobia; Methanomicrobiales.